RNAcentral lists this unclassified non-coding RNA (390 nucleotides) under uncultured fungus. RNAcentral describes it as "sequence contains ITS1". The stretch from base 1 to 105 matches the Rfam family "5.8S ribosomal RNA", at positions 50 to 154 of the family's 154-position model. Lineage: Eukaryota; Fungi. The record is from RNAcentral.
GAAAUGCGAUAAGUGCUGUGAAUUGCAGAAUUCAGUGAAUCAUCGAAUCUUUGAACGCACCUUGCGCUCCUCGGUAUUCCGAGGAGCAUGCCUGUAUGAGUGUCUUGCAACCCUCAAACCCAAGUUUUGGAUUUCGAUCCAUGCUUGAGUUUGGAUUUCGAUGUUUGCCGGUGAUGAACCGACUCAUCUUAAAAGUAUUAGCUUGGAUCUGUCUAUAUGACUGGUUUGACUUGGCAUAAUAAGUAUUUUGCUGAGGACAUCUUCGGAUGGCCAGGACGUAGACUACUGUCUGCUAACUAAACCAUCACUUUAAGCGCAUCUUUGGAUGUUACUCAUUGUGUAACUUUGACAUCUGGCCUCAAAUCAAGUAGGACUACCCGCUUAACUUAA